CGUCUGGUCCUGAAUUAUCUGCUUCUUAUCUGGUGUUACUGGUGCAAACUGUAUGGACGUAGCCCCAUUCGAAACACCAUCAGCGAUUGUUUUGGGCAGUGAAUUAAGAUCGUAACUUCGACGAUGAACUGGAAAUCCAUCUGAUGGACCGGGAAAUCGAUGGACCAAACUAAACAGCUUUUCAUUAUAUAUUAGUAUAAUGGAAACAACAACAACAAUUUAGUAAUACUACAAGGAAAUAGAUCGGCCAAACUAAAAUGGUUUUCCUUUAAAUUAGUACAACAGCAACAGCAACA
Molecule: long non-coding RNA, 296 nt
Organism: Macadamia integrifolia
Lineage: Eukaryota; Viridiplantae; Streptophyta; Magnoliopsida; Proteales; Proteaceae
Exons: 3
Source: RefSeq, a predicted model, not a curated record